UACGAGGGGGGCGAGCGUUAAUCGGAAUUACUGGGCGUAAAGCGUGCGCAGGCGGUUUUGUAAGCCAGAUGUGAAAGCCCCGGGCUCAACCUGGGAAUGGCAUUUGGGACUGCAAGGCUUGAGUGCGGCAGAGGAGACUGGAAUUCCUGGUGUAGCAGUGAAAUGCGUAGAUAUCAGGAGGAAUACCGAUGGCGAAGGCAGGUCUCUGGGCUGACACUGACGCUCAUGCACGAAAGCGUGGGGAGCAAACAGG
RNAcentral lists this ribosomal RNA (253 nucleotides) under uncultured bacterium. Its description in RNAcentral is "partial 16S ribosomal RNA". It matches the Rfam family "Bacterial small subunit ribosomal RNA", at positions 524 to 776 of the family's 1533-position model. The record is from RNAcentral.